RNAcentral lists this ribosomal RNA (253 nucleotides) under uncultured bacterium. RNAcentral describes it as "partial 16S ribosomal RNA". It matches the Rfam family "Bacterial small subunit ribosomal RNA", at positions 524 to 776 of the family's 1533-position model. The record is from RNAcentral.
GACGUAGGGGGCCAGCGUUGUUCGGAAUUACUGGGUGUAAAGGGUUCGUAGGCGGUGUGGCAAGUCGGGAGUGAAAUCUCUGGGCUCAACUCAGAGACUGCUUCCGAAACUGCUGUGCUGGAGUGUGGGAGAGGCGCGUGGAAUUGCAGGUGUAGCGGUGAAAUGCGUAGAUAUCGUAAGGAAGACCAGUGGCGAAGGCGGGUCUCUGGACAGUUCCUGACGCUGAGGCACGAAGGCCAGGGGAGCAAACGGG